This 466-nucleotide ribosomal RNA is filed under the name uncultured bacterium. Its description in RNAcentral is "partial 16S ribosomal RNA". It matches the Rfam family "Bacterial small subunit ribosomal RNA", at positions 28 to 507 of the family's 1533-position model. The record is from RNAcentral.
GAUGAACGCUGGCGGCGUGCUUAACACAUGCAAGUCGAACGGAAAGGCCCAAGCUUGCUUGGGUACUCGAGUGGCGAACGGGUGAGUAACACGUGGGUGAUCUGCCCUGCACUUCGGGAUAAGCCUGGGAAACUGGGUCUAAUACCGGAUAGGACCACAUUUUGGAUGGUGUGGUGGAAAGUUUUUCGGUGUGGGAUGAGCUCGCGGCCUAUCAGCUUGUUGGUGGGGUAAUGGCCUACCAAGGCGUCGACGGGUAGCCGGCCUGAGAGGGUGUACGGCCACAUUGGGACUGAGAUACGGCCCAGACUCCUACGGGAGGCAGCAGUGGGGAAUAUUGCACAAUGGGCGCAAGCCUGAUGCAGCGACGCCGCGUGGGGGAUGACGGGCUUCGGGUUGUAAACUCCUUUCGCUAGGGACGAAGCGUUAUGUGACGGUACCUGGAGAAGAAGCACCGGCUAACUACGUG